RNAcentral lists this ribosomal RNA (489 nucleotides) under Acrobeloides sp. Sourhope farm. RNAcentral describes it as "SSU rRNA". It matches the Rfam family "Eukaryotic small subunit ribosomal RNA", at positions 48 to 535 of the family's 1831-position model. The record is from RNAcentral. Lineage: Eukaryota; Metazoa; Nematoda; Chromadorea; Rhabditida; Cephalobidae.
GCCAUGCAUGUCUAAGUAUAAACGAUUUAAUCGUGAAACCGCGAAUGGCUCAUUAUAACAGCUAUAAUUUACUUGAUCUUGACACAAUCCUACUUGGAUAACUGUGGUAAUUCUAGAGCUAAUACAUGCAUUAAAGCUCUGACCUCACGGGAAGAGUGCAUUUAUUAGAACAAAACCAAGCGGCUUCGGCUGUUUCUGGUUGACUCAUAGUAACUGAGCUGAUCGCAUGGUCUUGCACCGGCGACGUGUCUUUCAAGUAUCUGCCGUAUCAACUUUCGAUGGUAGUGUAUCUGACUACCAUGGUGAUCACGCGUAACGGAGAAUAAGGGUUCGGCUCCGGAGAGUUCGCCUGAGAAAUCGCGAACACAUCUAAGGAAGGCAGCAGGCGCGAAAAUUACCCACUCUCAGCACGAGGAGGUAGUGACGAAAAAUAACGAGACCGUUCUCUUAUGAGGCCGGUCAUCGGAAUGGGUACAAUUUAAACCCUUA